RNAcentral lists this ribosomal RNA (404 nucleotides) under uncultured bacterium. RNAcentral describes it as "partial 16S ribosomal RNA". It matches the Rfam family "Bacterial small subunit ribosomal RNA", at positions 29 to 526 of the family's 1533-position model. The record is from RNAcentral.
AUUGAACGCUGGCGGCAGGCCUAACACAUGCAAGUCGAACGAGUGGCGGACGGGUGAGUAAUGUCUGGGAAACUGCCUGAUGGAGGGGGAUAACUACUGGAAACGGUAGCUAAUAACGCAUACCAUCAGAUGUGCCCAGAUGGGAUUAGCUAGUUGGUGGGGUAACGGCUCACCAAGGCGACGAUCCCUAGCUGGUCUGAGAGGAUGACCGGCCAAACUGUAUCUGGACAAGGGCCCGGACUCUACGGGUGGGAGGCGGGGGGAAGAUUGCACAAUGGGCGAAGGCCGCAUGCAGCCAGGCGGGGUGUAUAAGGAGGGCCUUCGGUUUGUAAAGUACUUUCGGCGGGGAGACGUUACCCGCGGAAGAGUCACCGGUUAACUCCGUGCCGGCGGCCGCGUAAUAC